UGGGGAAUAUUGCACAAUGGGCGCAAGCCUGAUGCAGCCAUGCCGCGUGUAUGAAGAAGGCCUUCGGGUUGUAAAGUACUUUCAGUCGGGAGGAAGGUGGUAAGGUUAAUAACCUUGGCAAUUGACGUUACCGACAGAAGAAGCACCGGCUAACUCCGUGCCAGCAGCCGCGGUAAUACGGAGGGUGCAAGCGUUAAUCGGAAUUACUGGGCGUAAGCGCACGCAGGCGGUUGAUUGAGUCAGAUGUGAAAUCCCCGGGCUUAACCCGGGAAUUGCAUCUGAUACUGGUCAGCUAGAGUCUUGUAGAGGGGGGUAGAAUUCCAUGUGUAGCGGUGAAAUGCGUAGAGAUGUGGAGGAAUACCGGUGGCGAAGGCGGCCCCCUGGACAAAGACUGACGCUCAGGUGCGAAAGCGUGGGGAGCAAACAGG
This 428-nucleotide ribosomal RNA is filed under the name Chloroflexota bacterium. RNAcentral describes it as "Chloroflexi bacterium partial 16S ribosomal RNA". It matches the Rfam family "Bacterial small subunit ribosomal RNA", at positions 355 to 776 of the family's 1533-position model. Lineage: Bacteria; Bacillati; Chloroflexota. The record is from RNAcentral.